This 509-nucleotide ribosomal RNA is filed under the name uncultured bacterium. Its description in RNAcentral is "partial 16S ribosomal RNA". It matches the Rfam family "Bacterial small subunit ribosomal RNA", at positions 31 to 542 of the family's 1533-position model. The record is from RNAcentral.
GACGAACGCUGGCGGCGUGCUUAACACAUGCAAGUCGAACGGAAAGGCCCUGCUUUUGUGGGGUGCUCGAGUGGCGAACGGGUGAGUAACACGUGAGUAACCUGCCCUUGACUUUGGGAUAACUUCAGGAAACUGGGGCUAAUACCGGAUAGGAGCUCCUGCUGCAUGGUGGGGGUUGGAAAGUUUCGGCGGUUGGGGAUGGACUCGCGGCUUAUCAGCUUGUUGGUGGGGUAGUGGCUUACCAAGGCUUUGACGGGUAGCCGGCCUGAGAGGGUGACCGGCAACAUGGGGACGGGAGUCCGGGCGAUGCAGCGAGGGGGGGCGGGUGGGGGAAUUAUGGGAGAGUGGGAGGACGCCUGGGGCGGCGGGUGCGGGUGGGGUGCGACCGCCGGCGGGUGGUAAGCUGCUUGGGCGUGAAGAGAAGCGUGGGUGACGGUAAUGGGGAAAGAAGCACCGGCUACCGAGGGGCCAGGAGCCGCGGUAAUAACCGGAACCGACCACGUUUGAUC